Molecule: transfer-messenger RNA, 325 nt
Filed under: Betaproteobacteria bacterium
Lineage: Bacteria; Pseudomonadati; Pseudomonadota; Betaproteobacteria
Rfam family: Betaproteobacteria transfer-messenger RNA
About the family: Bacterial tmRNA, also known as 10Sa RNA or SsrA, is named for its dual tRNA and mRNA-like properties. Its role is to liberate the mRNA from a stalled ribosome. To accomplish this part of the tmRNA is used as a reading frame that ends in a translation stop signal.
Source: RNAcentral
GAGUAAACAUAUCCUUGUAAAUUGUCUCUGGCGCCCCCAUAAUCGACGCAUGGUUGUAACUCCGGCAAUCUGGAGGCGUUCUGGACAGGGGUUCGAUUCCCCUCACCUCCACCUAAGGGCAGCGGAGUGUCUUUAGGUGGGGGUGCCAUGGCUUCGACAGGGCGGACAAAGGUGCGCAGGCAACCCGUCAGGCGAUCGACGUUAAUGAAGCAAAUCCAUAAACGCCAACGAUGAGCGUUUCGCACUGGCCGCCUAAGGUCAGCGCCGGGGCUGCUGGAGCCUUGUAACCAAAGAUAGCCGGUGGGGACUUCGGUCCCCAUCGUUA